RNAcentral lists this ribosomal RNA (248 nucleotides) under uncultured euryarchaeote. Its description in RNAcentral is "partial 16S ribosomal RNA". It matches the Rfam family "Archaeal small subunit ribosomal RNA", at positions 478 to 726 of the family's 1478-position model. The record is from RNAcentral. Lineage: Archaea; Methanobacteriati; Methanobacteriota.
CGCAGCCCAAGUGGUGGUCAUUAUUAUUGAGCCUAAAGCGUCCGUAGCCGGACUCGUAAAUCCUUGGGUAAAUCGGGCAGCUUAACUGUCCGAAUUCCGAGGAGACUGCGAGUCUUGGGACCGGGAGAGGUUAGAGGUACUCCAGGGGUAAGGGCUAAAUCUUGUAAUCCUUGGGGGACCACCAGUGGCGAAGGCGUCUAACUAGAACGGAUCCGACGGUAAGGGACGAAACCCUGGGGCGCAAACGG